RNAcentral lists this ribosomal RNA (497 nucleotides) under uncultured bacterium. RNAcentral's name for it is "partial 16S ribosomal RNA". It matches the Rfam family "Bacterial small subunit ribosomal RNA", at positions 28 to 507 of the family's 1533-position model. The record is from RNAcentral.
GAUGAACGCUGGCGGCGUGCCUAAUACAUGCAAGUCGAGCGAACAGAUGAGGAGCUUGCUCCUCUGACGUUAGCGGCGGACGGGUGAGUAACACGUGGAUAACCUACCUAUAAGACUGGGAUAACUUCGGGAAGCCGGAGCUAAUACCGGAUAAUAUAUUUAACCGCAUGGUUCAAUAGUGAAAGACGGUUUUGCUUUCACUUAUAGAUGGAUCCGCGCCGCAUUAGCUAGUUGGUAAGGUAACGGCUUACCAAGGCAACGAUUCGUAGCCGACCUGAGAGGGUGAUCGGCCACACUGGAACUGAGACACGGUCCAGACUCCUACGGGAGGCAGCAGUAGGGAAUCUUCCGCAAUGGGCGAAAGCCUGACGGAGCAACGCCGCGUGAGUGAUGAAGGUCUUCGGAUCGUAAAACUCUGUUAUUAGGGAAGAACAAAUGUGUAAGUAACUAUGCACGUCUUGACGGUACCUAAUCAGAAAGCCACGGCUAACUACGUG